UACAGAGGGGGCAAGCGUUGUUCGGAAUUACUGGGCGUAAAGGGCGCGUAGGCGGCCUGCUAAGUCGAACGUGAAAUCCCCGAGCUCAACUCGGGAACUGCGUCCGAUACUGGCAGGCUUGAAUCCGGGAGAGGGAUGCGGAAUUCCGGGUGUAGCGGUGGAAUGCGUAGAGAUCCGGAAGAACACCGGAGGCGAAGGCGGCUUGCUGGGCGUGAUCUGACGCUGAGGCGCGAAAGCGUGGGGAGCGAACAGG
This 253-nucleotide ribosomal RNA is filed under the name uncultured bacterium. RNAcentral's name for it is "partial 16S ribosomal RNA". It matches the Rfam family "Bacterial small subunit ribosomal RNA", at positions 524 to 776 of the family's 1533-position model. The record is from RNAcentral.